AGAACGACGCUGGCGGCAUGCCUAACACAUGCAAGUCGAACGAGAUCUUCGGGUCUAGUGGCGCACGGGUGCGUAACGCGUGGGAAUCUGCCCUUGGGUUCGGAAUAACUUCGGGAAACUGAAGCUAAUACCGGAUGAUGACGUAAGUCCAAAGAUCUAUCGCCCAAGGAUGAGCCCGCGUAGGAUUAGCUAGUUGGUGAGGUAAAGGCUCACCAAGGCGACGAUCCUUAGCUGGUCUGAGAGGAUGAUCAGCCACACUGGGACUGAGACACGGCCCAGACUCCUACGGGAGGCAGCAGUGGGAAUAUUGGACAAUGGGCGAAAGCCUGAUCCAGCAAUGCCGCGUGAGUGAUGAAGGCCUUAGGGUUGUAAAGCUCUUUUGCCCGGGAUGAUAAUGACAGUACCGGGAGAAUAAGCUCCGGCUAACUCCGUG
This 433-nucleotide ribosomal RNA is filed under the name uncultured bacterium. Its description in RNAcentral is "bacterial SSU rRNA". It matches the Rfam family "Bacterial small subunit ribosomal RNA", at positions 32 to 507 of the family's 1533-position model. The record is from RNAcentral.